Molecule: ribosomal RNA, 1284 nt
Filed under: Lineolata rhizophorae
Lineage: Eukaryota; Fungi; Ascomycota; Dothideomycetes; Lineolatales; Lineolataceae
Description: eukaryotic LSU rRNA
Rfam family: Eukaryotic large subunit ribosomal RNA
Source: RNAcentral
AGUGAAGCGGCAUCAGCUCAAAUUUGAAAUCCGGCGCCUCCGGUGCCCGAGUUGUAAUUUGCAGAGGUGGCCUCGGGCGCGGUCCCGGUACAAGUUCCGUGGAACAGGACGUCGUGGAGGGUGAGAGCCCCGUUCGCGACCGGCGACCAACCCCAUGCGUGGCCCCUUCGACGAGUCGAGUUGUUUGGGAAUGCAGCUCCAGCGGGAGGUAAAUUUCUUCUAAAGCUAAAUAUCGGCCGGAGACCGAUAGCGCACAAGUAGAGUGAUCGAAAGAUGAAAAGCACUUUGGAAAGAGAGUCAAAAAGCACGUGAAAUUGUUGAAAGGGAAGCGCUUGCGAUCAGACCCGGCCGCGGUUGCUCAGCCCGCCUUCUGGCUGGCCCACUCUCCCGUGGCCGGGCCAGCGUCGGUUCGGGCGGCCGGAUAAAGGCGGGGGGAAAGUAGCUCCCCUCGGGGAGUGUUAUAGCCCCCCGCGCAAUGCGGCCCGCCCGGGCCGAGGCACGCGCUCUUGCGAGGACGCUGGCGUAAUGGUCGUAAGCGGCCCGUCUUGAAACACGGACCAAGGAGUCUAACAUCUGUGCGAGUGUUUGGGCGUCAAACCCACGCGCGCAAUGAAAGUGAACGGAGGUGGGAACCUUCGGGCGCACCAUCGACCGAUCCCGAUGUUCUCGGAAGGAUUUGAGUAAGAGCACAGCUGUUGGGACCCGAAAGACACUGAACUUUGCCUGAAUAGGGCGAAGCCAGAGGAAACUCUGGUGGAGGCUCGCAGCGGUUCUGACGUGCAAAUCGAUCGUCAAAUUUGGGUAAAGGGGCGAAAGACUAAUCGAAGUGUCUAGUAGCUGGUUCCUGCCGAAGUUUCCCUCAGGAUAGCAGCAACGCGUCGCAGUUUUAUGAGGUAAAGCGAAUGAUUAGAGGUCUUGGGGUUUUAAGUCGACCUUAACCUAUUCUCAAACUUUGAAUAUGUAAGAAGCCCUUGUUACUUGGUUGAACGUGGGCAUUAGAAUGCACCGUUGCUAGUGGGCCAUUUUUGGUAAGCAGAACUGGCGAUGCGGGAUGAACCGAACGCGGGGUUAAGGUGCCGGAGUGCACGCUCAUCAGACACCACAAAAGGUGUUGGUUGAUCUAGACAGCAGGACGGUGGCCAUGGAAGUCGGAACCCGCUAAGGAGUGUGUAACAACUCACCUGCCGAAUCAACCAGCCCUGAAAAUGGAUGGCGCUCAAGCGUGCCACCUAUACCCCGCCGCCGGGGCAGGAUCGACGCCCCGGCGAGUAGGCAGGCGCGGAG